GGGGUUGUGGUGGAAUGGUAGACACAGGAGACUUAAAAUCUCCCGACCACAAGUCGUGACGGUUCGAGUCCGUCCAGCCCCACCA
This 85-nucleotide transfer RNA is filed under the name Sphingomonadales bacterium. RNAcentral's name for it is "tRNA-Leu". It matches the Rfam family "tRNA". Rfam says of the family: Transfer RNA (tRNA) molecules are approximately 80 nucleotides in length. Their secondary structure includes four short double-helical elements and three loops (D, anti-codon, and T loops). The record is from RNAcentral. Lineage: Bacteria; Pseudomonadati; Pseudomonadota; Alphaproteobacteria; Sphingomonadales.